AUGCCAACUCAAGAGGAGGCAUCUGAGUAUUUCUUGAAAACCAAACAAGAGCAGCUUGGUUACUUGAUAGCAUCAACUCUGAGGAUUGAGAAAUGGUUGGCCACCCUAACUCAAAACCAGGAGAGCCUAGAGAGAAUCAUGGAACAAAAAUUCUAUGAUCUAGAUGUCAAGGUAACUAAGAUUCAGUCAGUUGUAGAGCAGCUGCAGGAUGACAUGCAGGAGAGGAAGGGCAAGACAACCACCAAUGUGUUUGCCAGAGUGCCCAGAGCCCAGAGAUCAGUUGCAGUGCCAGUGACAGACACUAGAGCAACAACUUCAGCACCAGCUACUGCCCCUACAAUUCUAGUGCAACCAGCUCCAGCAUCCACUCCA
Molecule: ribosomal RNA, 372 nt
Filed under: Triticum aestivum (bread wheat)
Lineage: Eukaryota; Viridiplantae; Streptophyta; Magnoliopsida; Poales; Poaceae
Description: partial small subunit ribosomal RNA
Source: RNAcentral